RNAcentral lists this ribosomal RNA (468 nucleotides) under uncultured bacterium. RNAcentral describes it as "partial 16S ribosomal RNA". It matches the Rfam family "Bacterial small subunit ribosomal RNA", at positions 28 to 507 of the family's 1533-position model. The record is from RNAcentral.
GAUGAACGCUGGCGGCGUGCUUAACACAUGCAAGUCGAACGGAAAGGCCCAAGCUUGCUUGGGUACUCGAGUGGCGAACGGGUGAGUAACACGUGGGUGAUCUGCCCUGCACUUCGGGAUAAGCCUGGGAAACUGGGUCUAAUACCGGAUAGGACGAUGGUUUGGAUGCCAUUGUGGAAAGUUUUUUCGGUGUGGGAUGAGCUCGCGGCCUAUCAGCUUGUUGGUGGGGUAAUGGCCUACCAAGGCGUCGACGGGUAGCCGGCCUGAGAGGGUGUACGGCCACAUUGGGACUGAGAUACGGCCCAGACUCCUACGGGAGGCAGCAGUGGGGAAUAUUGCACAAUGGGCGCAAGCCUGAUGCAGCGACGCCGCGUGGGGGAUGACGGUCUUCGGGUUGUAAACUCCUUUCGCUAGGGACGAAGCGUUUUUGUGACGGUACCUGAAGAAGAAGCACCGGCUAACUACGUG